CGGGGUGAGUAACGCGUGGGUAACCUGCCUUGUACUGGGGGACAACAGUUAGAAAUGACUGCUAAUACCGCAUAAGCGCACAGUAUCGCAUGAUACAGUGUGAAAAACUCCGGUGGUACAAGAUGGACCCGCGUCUGAUUAGCUAGUUGAUAAGGUAACGGCUUACCAAGGCGACGAUCAGUAGCCGACCUGAGAGGGUGACCGGCCACAUUGGGACUGAGACACGGCCCAA
Molecule: ribosomal RNA, 232 nt
Filed under: uncultured bacterium
Lineage: Bacteria
Description: partial 16S ribosomal RNA
Rfam family: Bacterial small subunit ribosomal RNA
Source: RNAcentral